This 451-nucleotide ribosomal RNA is filed under the name uncultured bacterium. Its description in RNAcentral is "bacterial SSU rRNA". It matches the Rfam family "Bacterial small subunit ribosomal RNA", at positions 355 to 796 of the family's 1533-position model. The record is from RNAcentral.
UAGGGAAUUGUUCGCAAUGGGCGCAAGCCUGACGACGCAACGCCGCGUGGAGGAUGAAGAUUUUCGGAUCGUAAACUCCUUUCGAUCGAGACGAAUGGCUUCCGGGUGAAUAAUCCGGAGGAAUGACGGUACCGAGAGAAGAAGCCCCGGCUAACUCCGUGCCAGCAGCCGCGGUAAUACGGGGGGGGCAAGCGUUGUUCGGAAUUACUGGGCGUAAAGGGCUCGUAGGCGGCCAACUAAGUCAGACGUGAAAUCCCUCGGCUUAACCGGGGAACUGCGUCUGAUACUGGAUGGCUUGAGUGUGGGAGAGGGAUGCGGAAUUCCAGGUGUAGCGGUGAAAUGCGUAGAUAUCUGGAGGAACACCGGUGGCGAAGGCGGCAUCCUGGACCAUUACUGACGCUGAGUGAGCGAAAGCCAGGGGAGCAAACGGGAUUAGAUACCCGGGUAGUCC